AAGCGGAGGAACUAUGUGGUUUAAUUCGAUGAUACGCGAGGUAACCUUACCUGGCUUAAAUGUAGAGUGCAUUUUUUUAGAGAUAGAAAUUCCCUUCGGGGCUUUUCUGCAAGGUGCUGCAUGGUUGUCGUCAGCUCGUGCCGUGAGGUGUCGGGUUAAGUCCCAUAACGAGCGCAACCCUUAUCGUUAGUUGCCAGCUGGUAAAGCAGGGGACUCUAGCGAAACUGCCACCGUAAGGUGAGAGGAAGUGGGGAUGACGUCAAAUCAGCACGGCCCUUAUGUCCAGGGCUACACACGUGUUACAAUGGCCGGCACAGAGGGCAGCUACCUGGUGACAGGAUGCUAAUCUCGAAAACCGGUCUCAGUUCGGAUCGAAGUCUGCAACUCGACUUCGUGAAGCUGGAUUCGCUAGUAAUCGCGCAUCAGCCAUGGCGCGGUGAAUACGUUCCCGGGCCUU
Molecule: ribosomal RNA, 457 nt
Filed under: uncultured Sphingobacteriales bacterium
Lineage: Bacteria; Pseudomonadati; Bacteroidota; Sphingobacteriia; Sphingobacteriales
Description: bacterial SSU rRNA
Rfam family: Bacterial small subunit ribosomal RNA
Source: RNAcentral